GAUCCUGGCUCAGAAUCAACGCUGGCGGCGUGCCUAACACAUGCAAGUCGCACGAGAAAGUGGAGCAAUCCAUGAGUACAGUGGCGCACGGGUGAGUAACACGUGACUUAUCUACCUCCGAGUGGGGAAUAACCUAGAGAAAUCUGGGCUAAUACCGCAUAACACUUACGAGUCAAAGCAGCAAUGCGCUUGGAGAGGAGGUCGCGGCAGAUUAGUUAGUUGGCGGGGUAAUGGCCCACCAAGACGAUGAUCUGUAUCCGGCCUGAGAGGGCGCACGGACACACUGGAACUGAAACACGGUCCAGACUCCUACGGGAGGCAGCAGUGGGGAAUUUUGCGCAAUGGGGGAAACCCUGACGCAGCAACGCCGCGUGGAGGAUGAAAUCCCUUGGGAUGUAAACUCCUUUCGAUUGGGAAGAUUAUGACGGUACCAAUAGAAGAA
This 442-nucleotide ribosomal RNA is filed under the name Acidobacteria bacterium enrichment culture clone UCLd35. RNAcentral's name for it is "bacterial SSU rRNA". It matches the Rfam family "Bacterial small subunit ribosomal RNA", at positions 15 to 489 of the family's 1533-position model. Lineage: Bacteria; Pseudomonadati; Acidobacteriota. The record is from RNAcentral.